AGAGCGAACGCUGGCGGCAGGCCUAACACAUGCAAGUCGAGCGCCCCGCAAGGGGAGCGGCAGACGGGAGAGUAACACGUGGGAACGUACCCUUUGGUUCGGAACAACACAGGGAAACUUGUGCUAAUACCGGAUAAGCCCUUACGGGGAAAGAUUUAUCGCCAAAGGAUCGGCCCGCGUCUGAUUAGCUAGUUGGUGGGGUAACGCUCACCAAGGCUACGAUCAGUAGCUGGUCUGAGAGGAUGAUCAGCCUCACUGGGACUGAGACACGGCCCAGACUCCUACGGGAGGCAGCAGUGGGGAAUAUUGGACAAUGGGCGCAAGCCUGAUCCAGCCAUGCCGCGUGGGUGAUGAAGGCCCUAGGGUUGUAAAGCCCUUUCGGCGGGAAGAUAAUGACGGUACCGCAGAAGAAGCCCGGCUAACUUCGUGCCAGCAGCCGC
This 440-nucleotide ribosomal RNA is filed under the name uncultured bacterium. Its description in RNAcentral is "SSU rRNA". It matches the Rfam family "Bacterial small subunit ribosomal RNA", at positions 26 to 518 of the family's 1533-position model. The record is from RNAcentral.